Molecule: long non-coding RNA, 5955 nt
Organism: Mus musculus (house mouse)
Lineage: Eukaryota; Metazoa; Chordata; Mammalia; Rodentia; Muridae
Product: predicted gene, 41928
Exons: 4
Source: RefSeq, a predicted model, not a curated record
UUUUACUUUCUUUCUUUCUUUCUCUCAUGGAACUGGGGAUUGGAUCUAUAUAGCCUUGUUCAUGCGAGGCAAGUGCUAACACACUGAACAAUGUCAGCCAUCUUUUACCUGUUUUAGUAAGCAGGAUCGUAAGUUGGCCAGACUGGCUUUGAACUUACUGUAGCCAAAGAGGGACUUCCUUGGAUUUGUGAACUUGAUAGUUUCCAGUUUUAGUCUCCCAAGUAGCUGGACUUACAGGCCAAGACCUCUAGACCCAGGUUUCUGGCGGUUGUUUAUAAAGUGUAAUAACCCAGGGCCAGUGAGAUGGCUCAGCAGAGAAAAGCACUUGUCAAAGCCUGACAACUCGAGUUCAAUCCCUAGGACCCACAUGGUGGGAGGAGGAUGAAAGAAACAACCCCUGCAAGUUGUUUACACACACACACACACACACAUACACACACACACACACACACCCAUGGCAUGCAUACAUGUGUACACAUACAUAAUAAAUUCAUGUAAAAAUAAUCCUUGGACAUUAGUCUGAAUUAUAAGAGCACCAUCUUUAUGUUCCAACCAUGACCCAGAGGCUACAGAUCCUGAUCCCCCUACCUCAAGACUUAAGAAUAUAAACCUGGGAAUGGACAUAGGCAAACACUCAAACCGUAGGAAUCCUAUGGAAUAAAAUGGGUCAGAAGAUCAAAGACUUCUUUAGGUGGGAGUAACCCCAGGUCCAUGUUUGCAGAAAUACUGUAUCAGCUUUGGGAGAACUCUGGCCAGAGAAGGACUUAAUAUGGUGAUGGUGGCUGAGAGGUCUCUGGGGACUCCCUGGAAUGGUUUAAACAUCUCACUGAGUUGUCAACCCUAUUGUUAUUGAAUAAGACAUAUUUAUCAAAGGGAAUCAUUCAUGAAAAGACAGAAGGCACCUGAGAUUAUUGUCCUGCUCUGGAGACAAAAGUCCUUGGUCUUUGGAAUGUAAAUUCGCUGCUCUCAGAUAUGGGCCAGUAGAUGGCAGCUCUGGAGAUGCCAUGUUCCCCCAUAGUACACCAUGACACCCCCAACCCUGUGUGUGUGUGUGUGUGUGUAUGUGUACUGAGUAGAGAGAGAAGAGCAGAUAUCAGCCUGAUGUGAAGUCUAGGAAAGCUAAGCCUUUUAUCUGCCAUGAGAGGAGCCAGCAGCCUGCAUGGUACUGCCCUUGUUGUCAGCCCACAAAGUUUGUCUGUAUGGAAAGCUAAAUUCAGCUUAGAGAGAUGAGGGCUCCCUGCAGUUUCUGAAGCCUUCAACUGGGGUGGAUCAGGUAGCAGGGGCUACUUCUUACCGCCUAGCUCCCCAGUGCCCCUGAGAUGGCAUUUCUAGAGAUGUUCAGGUUGCUCUAUCUCCAUGUCCCCUCUUCUUCCCUGUGUGUCAGGGGAUGCAGCAGGCAUUAGAUCGAUACUGGGGGAUCCUUAUUCUGAAGUUUCCCAUGACCUUUGAUGUGCCCUUGUGAUUCUGAAAGAGGGAAAUAUGAUCUGUGGUUCUUCUUGAUCUACUUGAUGGACAAUUCUCUGUUGGAUGCUUCCAGGUGCUGCUGGGUACUUCCAGGUGCUACUAGUGCCUCACAGAGCUCUCUGUGAAGUAUUUCCAUGACCAGUUCUGUGUACGAGCGAUACAUACAACAAGCCAGCUCAGAAAUGUGACGCGCAGCUCAUCUCUUACUUUAAUGACAUGGUGAAAUUUCUUGUUUGCUUUGUCUUCCUGAUCUUGCAUUGCCACCUUACCCCACCCCAGGCAGCUGUGCUCUCUCUCCAGUACCUGUCACUAAGGAACGUUCCAAAAGACGCCUCUGUACUCACUGGCUGGGCCUGAAGGCAAGAAGGACUGGCUCUAGCAAUGGCCCUGCUCUAACCAUCAUGAGCACAGUGUGGAGGUGACCCCAAGGCCGAGGAGUGCUCCCCCAAACUCUCUACUACACGUAUAUUUUGACAGACACAGGAGAGCUGUUCUCAGUAGGAAGAACAUGCUGCCCAGGGGAAGACACCAACAGGGACUUUAUAAGGGCCCAAGGAGCUUAACCAGAUCACACAAAAAAUAAUGGCAGGACUUAUUGGUAUAGGGGACACUUCAGAACAAGAAGGAUCUCAGGAUCUCGGACUCUGUCCAAGGGGUGUUAACUACAAUGGGACCAAAACCAAAACAAACCAAAGCAAACAAAAAACAAUAACAACAACAAAACCCUCCUUCCAAAGUCUCAGGGGUGUGGCUGUCUGAGCCACAGGGACUCCACCUGGUACAAGUGGGAGUAUUGGGGAGCAAGACUGUCUGUAGGCAUAGUUACCAGGUACAUAGUGCUUCUCAGAUGUCUCCAGGGAGGACCUGGGAACCCAGCCCCAGGGACAAUUUAGAAGAGUGGACAGCCAAAGAUCAGAACUUCUAACCCCAGCCACUAACAGGCUGGUUGACCCCAGAGCAAAUCACUUUGUGUGGUUUCUUCCUUUGGAAAGCAGGGAGGGGGAGAUAAUAUCUGAUCUAUCUCUUAGAAGCUCAGGUGGUUUCUGUUUUGCUUUUUGUGCAGAGCAAUAAUAAAAAUGACACCAAACCCUGCUGAAAAUAAAUACGGGCUCUAUGCGUUUCGAGCAAUAGCAGUGAGAAUUCUCACUGGGAUUGUGGCUUACUUUACCACGAUAAAAUCCCUAGUAAAAUUCUACAAAGUUUUUCCUUUGUGCAUUUGCCUUCUCAGUAGAAAUGGUUUCCUAUUAGGGAAGAAGUACUUUGAGACAUGCAUUUGAGCCUCUGUGUAAUCCAGUCCCUGAGCUGAAUGGCGUUCUCUUUCUCUUUCUCUUUCUCUUUCUCUUUUUCCACUUUGGUCAUGUUUCAGAAAUAGUUGAAUGCUGGAUUCUGAACUCUCACUGAGAAGUGAAUUUAAAAAAAAAAUAAUGAGAUUAGCAGAUAAGUAAACAAACAUCCUAAUUGAGGCCCAAGCUAUGCAAGUGCUGGAGCAGUAUAGAAUUCCAUGUCUCCGUAUUCUUUGUUGGCCUGAAUGAAACUAAAACCUAGAAGGUUACAUUAAGCAUGAUCACCCUGCUCCUUGGGACUCAGAAAAGGCCUUGAAUGUGGCAGUUUGCAGGCAUGUGAUUGCACAUAACACAAUGGCACAAAUGAGUGUUUUUCUUUCUUCUUACAGAAAGGAAAUUCGCUCACGGAGAGUCUGUGAGUAACUAAAUUCCAACCUUUGCCAUUUCUCCACCAUGAAAGGGGGCUCACCCAAAGAGCCUUGGAGUCAGAUGUGUGUCAGUCCACCUGGCUGCUGAGUCGUUGGUGUCUGCAGCUGUCUGGAGUGAGACCAAGAACAUCCAGGAAAGCCAAGGCUGUGUGGAAGGGGCCGCUCUGUUCUCUCUUCAGCUGAACUCUGGCUGUUGUUCAUUGUACCUGACUGCACUCCACUCCUUUCUGCUUUUGAUUCUAAUAAGUCCUGCUGGGGAUGGAGACAUAGCAUAGACAGCAAAACACUUGCAAGGAUCUGAGUUCCAUUUAGGAAAGAACAGCUGGGUGUGGCUGCAUAGAUUUGUAAUCCUGGUGCUGGGAAGGUUCCUGCAAUCCUUGCUGGCAUGGCUUCAUACCGAUGAGGCAAAGAAAUUGACUGCAAUGAGACGGUGAAUAAAAAUUGACCCCUGGCCUAUAGUCAGCAGCAACCCAUCCAAGAUGCCAACCCAGUAUCCACAGUGGCCAGCCCAGGAACCCUGCUUGCAGGAAGCCAGACCACCACCUCUGGCAACAAUUCUGGAAACCAUGCAAUGACACCUAUAAUAACCACUCCCAAAUGGCGAGAUUUGGAUUCCAAACUGGCAGUUUCCUUACUGCUCAUCUGACUUCCAGUUUACAACCAAACAGGGAAAGCCAAGUAUCUCUUCUACCUAACCACAUGGGAAGGGAGACCUGCUUCCAGUUCAGUCAGCUCCCAUUUCCCAAGGGUAGCCCUCUCCAAUCAGAGUAUGCCCAAAGCCUUCCAUUUGUCUCAUGACAAAGACCGCUCAUCUCUGCCACCUGCCUCUGCCUCACUCUGCCUCAGUGAAAGCAGGUAGUAGAUUCCCUCCCUGUGUAUGGUUAAGUCCUGAAUCAGUCCCCUUAUCUGGGUCUCAUUUAUGUGGCCUUUUGUUUCUAUAUACUCUGCAGCUAGCAAAAGUGGAUUUGAAGACAAGACUGCUCUAUGCUAUUUGAUCCUGGCAAUCUUGGUCUUGUGCAAUGAAGUCAGAGUAACAUUUGUGGCCUCACAAAGCCUGGGGCCCUCUCCUUGAUUCCUGUCUUGAUGGAUUAUAUGGCUUCUAGUGGAGCAGAGCAGAGUGUGAGGAGAUGAAUAAUAACUGCAUUCUCACUGAAUUUGAAGUUGGUGUGGCAUAACCGGAGCAACAUAAAGGAAGCAAUUAGUGAAGGCAGAUGGGAUUCUGUUUUCAAGAAACACUUGGGAGAAAAUAAUUUAAGAAUGAAGAUAACAUAUGUCCCAAUUCCCUUGCCCCCAAACCUCAUUUUAAAGAAGGUGUCACCCUAAGGCCCAACAGUUAUGAUCUUGAUCUUCUUUACAUCAGCAGCCCAUGAUGCUGAUUGGGCACAGUAUGGAAACCAUCACAUCCCACUACUUUGUGAGAAGGAAGUAAGAAGGAAAACUCUUUGACUUGACUCAUACAUUUAGCAGAUGAGAAUUUAAACUCUGAUCUGAUAUCAUGGGUCCGCUUGCUGCAGUCUUGACUAAUAAUCUACCCACUGGCUCGAAUUCAGACCUAGUUUCCUUUUAGAAGUAACAGCAAACCAUUAGAGUACAUUUGGCAGAGUGGACAGAGGUAAGAUGGUGUCUUACCUCCUAACUUGCCUUAGCAACUUAUCCAUUCAGAAUAUAGCUGACGAGCAUGAGGAAAGAGAUGUGUUGUGGCCAUAUUGCUCAGCAUGGUUACCUAUAACCAGAGCCACUAGCUGUGUGAGGCCAGUGAGCUCUUAAAGUGCUAACACUCAAGUCCACAACAAUUUAAAGACAACAUGAGAAAAGAAUAUAAGCCAUUGAGAAAAGAAUAUAAGCCAUUGCAGCAGUUUUUAGAUUUACUAUAGGUGGAUGUGAUAUAUUGGAUUAAGUAAUAUGCAUCAUUGAGCCUAACUUUUUGGGAUUAUGUUUAAAAUGUUAAUGCAACUGUUACAGAGUGAAUCACACAUGAGGCUCACGUAUUCUUUUGUUCGGUGGUGCUGGUCUAGAUCUGGCUCUUUGGGUUUGGAUGACACAGUCCCUAGGUAAGGGAGGGUGAGACCAAGAGUCCAGCUGUGUUCCCACAAGGACAGGGACUCUUGGGUGGGGGCGGGGUGCCAAAGGAAAGAAGCUUGGCUCACGCUGCUCCUGGGACAUAAACCUUAUUAUGCAAGAACACUGCAGACAUCCCAGGAGCAAUUUCAUUGGAAACAUUUUCUCUUCUGAGACCUAGUUUCUUUCCUAAACACCACCCAAGGCAACAAUGGAUUAUUGCUUCCUGGAAAUCAAACCAAGGGCUUUAAAGUGUUUCAUAUUAAAAACAGAAAAACCCAAGAAGGAGACAAUAAUUAUAUUUCUAAAAGCUUUUAGAACAAAUGCCGGCUUGUGAGAAAUGAUUUUUCUAUAAAUAUUUCAUCCGUCCUUUUUUUCCCCCUUGUUCUCCAGCUGAGAGAUUGCACAUGGGUAUGAGCAGUGGCAAUCCCCUCGGGAUAGAGGAUCAAAGCACACACUAAGGUUCACUCCCAAGUUUUGGAGCAUCCCCAGCUUUGCCUGUGGCUCUGAGAUGGAGGGGGCCCGAGUUUGUGGACAACCGACAAAGACUGUUGCAAAAAGCUACAAGCACGUGGCUAUGAGAUCAUUGUUCAAGGCUCGUCCAGGGAGAGACAUGAGUAUGAUCUACCUGUGGGCAAUGGCCCUCAAACAACGCACUUUGGAAGACAUUUAGAAAUCUAAGUAGCAAAUCCGUGAAUCCAUUAAAUGGUUUGAGAUAAACA